Molecule: long non-coding RNA, 2240 nt
Filed under: Homo sapiens (human)
Lineage: Eukaryota; Metazoa; Chordata; Mammalia; Primates; Hominidae
Description: HSALNT0293730
Source: RNAcentral
GUAGACCUGAGCCGUUCCUAUUCGGCCAUCUUGGCUCCUCAAAUCUAUAUUCAAAAGUCUCACUCAUUUUGCUGCUCAGCAGAAGGAUUGUAAAAAUGAAAAAUAAAAAAAAGGCUUUUACAUCAAAUAUUGAUAACGAUAAUAAUGAUUAACACAUGUGGAGCACUUACCAUCUCUCAAGCACUGCUCUAGAGCUUUCCAUGAAAGAAUCCCUCUAAUCUUCAGAACAAUCCUGUGAGGAGCUGCUGCCAAAUCAACACCUCGAUAUGUUUGUUCUUGGAGAGAAAUGAGCUAAGGAGGAAGACCGUCUAAAAAUACCACUGGACAAUUUGUACUCACUGGAGUGGUCUCUAUGGGGCAAAAGGUUUUUAGAGUGGCUCGUGGAUUUUCUGGCAAGUGGCAAACCAUACAAGAGCUACGUCAGGCCAGGAAGACAGGUACAGCCCUGUCGGUGUCAAAGAAGAACACCGGUAGCAGAAGAGCUAAGAGUGAAUGAAAAUGGAAUUAUCUUUACUUCUAGGACUUGUCUAUUGAGAAACAGCAGCGCUGGCAACCAUUUACUACCAACAAGAGGCAGUUGCAAGAGAAGAAUAUAAAAUAUGCUCUGCUCAACCCCACAAAACUCAGAGUGUCUCACAAUGGCCAAUUUAUUAUUUUUACCCUGUCCAGUGACAUGGAAGGAUGCAUCAGGGAGCUGCUAGCCUCUGCGAUGAAUAACUUAAGUCAGGCUGCAACAUGUGAAAUAAUUCAGCUGACCAGGAUUUAUAACACUAGCUAGAUUUUUUGCUUUCUUUGGGGUUCAUGAAGCAUGGUGUUGUGAGAUACCACAGGAGUCCCGGAGUAAAGUUACAUACCUAUUGCUCUUCCUUAUUUUUAUUUUUUGGUAUUUUCAUAUUAUUUUAUUGCCUAGUCCAAAUGUCUUCCUAAGCAGGGUCCAGCCUCCUAGGGGACACGUCUCUUCUGACUUUGAAAAUUAGAACCACAGACAGAUAAGACUUCUAAAUACUCUGUUUUUAUACCCUCUUCUUCACAUACCUAGUCCCAGGUGGUUUUGACUCCCUGAUGCUGUGUUGAUUGUGUUGGCCUUCAAUUUAUUUUGCUCAAUUAUUUAUGUGCAUCUGCCCAAAUAAGAGGUGUGGCAAUGCAGUGGCAUGCUUACAAUUCAGCCCAUCUCACUCCCUGGUUCAUAUGUCAGUUUGCAGGAUGGCUUGCUAGAUUUGCAAAGGGGUGUGGGGGACAGUUUCCAUCUGCUGCCAUUGCAAAACACAUCUUUCAGGGGCUACCUGGCAGGGCUGUUUUCUUUCCAGGUAAGGUUCAGGGACAUUUCCAUGCACUGAGUAGAGUCUGGAUCUUUGUUUUCCAGGUGCCUCAGAAGACUAGGACAUGGGGCAAUUGCAAAUCCUGGUCUUUGUACAUUACAUAGAACUUAGGGUAGGAAGGGACUUCAGAAGAUCAUCAGGUCAAAUUUCCCACUUCCUUGGAAUUCUCAUUUUUUAGAGGACCAAUGGUUGGCAACAUCCCUUUUUUGUGUUGUCAUUUGGAAAUUGUGUUAAAAGCCAUUCUUUCACAGUUGCUCUGUGGUCCUUCCAAUUUUCACUUUAACUGGGAAAUUUUAAUGAGAUCCUUCAAGCAAUUAAAAGAGUAGAAAAAAUACUCACAGAAGCAGAAUUUGGAGGGUAGCUAUGGCUUUUCUCUGUUGACAAACCCCCUUUUGACUUCUUGACAUCACUGAAUCAAGUCUUAGUGUCUUGAGAGGUUACUGCCUGAAUACAGGUUAAAUAUGUUAAUAUUCACUGAUUGGAGGAAAGUACCAUGAGCAAAUCUAAUGCAGGAUCCUGGAAUGCUGAGGGCAUUAGUGGCUCCAUAAAAUGUAAAUGCAUUCUUAAUUAUCUCAAGUCACUGCACGCCCAAGUAGCUCUUUUGUAAGAAAAACACAGCUUACUGAUAAUGAGCAUGAAAAUUACUAAGAGAUUGGUGGAGUAAAUCUCUUAAACCUCCUUUCUUUUCUUUUCUUUUUUUCUUCUCCAAAUUUUGAUGUGACUUCGCUAAUUUGAGUAUGUGUCUCUUUUUAGAUUCUACAGAUAACCUUAGGGCCCCACAAGGCAUUUUGGGUGAUUGAAAUAAUAGCAGUUUGUACCUUACGGGAACCUCUAAAGAUGAUGAUGAUUAUUAUUAUUAUCAUGACUGAUUUUAUUGAAUCUAUGAGGCUUAUGAGGUCUUAAGUUCAAGAUCAGCCUGGC